This 259-nucleotide ribosomal RNA is filed under the name uncultured prokaryote. RNAcentral's name for it is "partial 16S ribosomal RNA". It matches the Rfam family "Bacterial small subunit ribosomal RNA", at positions 524 to 782 of the family's 1533-position model. The record is from RNAcentral.
UACGGAGGAUCCGAGCGUUAUCCGGAAUUAUUGGGUUUAAAGGGUGCGUAGGCGGCCAUUUAAGUCAGCGGUGAAAUUUUGCAGCUUAACUGUAACAGUGCCGUUGAUACUGUUUGGCUAGGAUUUGGUUGUAGUGUGCGGAAUGUGUGGUGUAGCGGUGAAAUGCUUAGAUAUCACACAGAACACCGAUUGCGAAGGCAGCACACUAAGUCAUUAUUGACGCUGAGGCACGAAAGUGUAGGGAUCAAACAGGAUUAGA